CCUACGGGAGACAGCAGUGAGGAAUAUUGGUCAAUGGACGAGAGUCUGAACCAGCCAAGUAGCGUGAAGGAUGACUGCCCUAUGGGUUGUAAACUUCUUUUAUAUGGGAAUAAAAUGUUCCACGUGUGGGAUUUUGUAUGUACCAUAUGAAUAAGGAUCGGCUAACUCCGUGCCAGCAGCCGCGGUAAUACGGAGGAUCCGAGCGUUAUCCGGAUUUAUUGGGUUUAAAGGGGGCGUAGGUGGAUUGUUAAGUCAGUUGUGAAAGUUUGCGGCUCAACCGUAAAAUUGCAGUUGAAACUGGCAGUCUUGAGUACAGUAGAGGUGGGCGGAAGUCGUGGUGUAGCGGUGAAAUGCUUAGAUAUCACGAAGAACUCCGAUUGCGAAGGCAGUUCACUGGACUGCAACUGACACUGAGGCUCGAAAGUGUGGGUAUCAAACAGGAUUAGAUACCCGGGUAGUC
This 460-nucleotide ribosomal RNA is filed under the name uncultured bacterium. Its description in RNAcentral is "partial 16S ribosomal RNA". It matches the Rfam family "Bacterial small subunit ribosomal RNA", at positions 338 to 795 of the family's 1533-position model. The record is from RNAcentral.